GCACAAGCGGUGGAGCAUGUGGUUUAAUUCGAAGCAACGCGAAGAACCUUACCAGGUCUUGACAUCCUCUGACAAUCCUAGAGAUAGGACUUUCCCCUUCGGGGGACAGAGUGACAGGUGGUGCAUGGUUGUCGUCAGCUCGUGUCGUGAGAUGUUGGGUUAAGUCCCGCAACGAGCGCAACCCUUGUCCUUAGUUGCCAGCAUUCAGUUGGGCACUCUAAGGAGACUGCCGGUGACAAACCGGAGGAAGGUGGGGAUGACGUCAAAUCAUCAUGCCCCUUAUGACCUGGGCUACACACGUGCUACAAUGGAUGGUACAAAGGGUUGCGAGACCGCGAGGUUUAGCCAAUCCCAUAAAACCAUUCUCAGUUCGGAUUGUAGGCUGCAACUCGCCUACAUGAAGCCGGAAUCGCUAGUAAUCGUGGAUCAGCAUGCCACGGUGAAUACGUUCCCGGGC
Molecule: ribosomal RNA, 457 nt
Filed under: uncultured soil bacterium
Lineage: Bacteria
Description: bacterial SSU rRNA
Rfam family: Bacterial small subunit ribosomal RNA
Source: RNAcentral